AGAGUUUGAUCCUGGCUCAGGAUGAACGCUGGCGGCGUGCUUAACACAUGCAAGUCGAACGAGGCUGCACCUCUCAAGUUUUCAGAUGGAGGAGGUGCUGACCGAGUGGCGGACGGGUGAUUAACUCCUGGGGAACCUGCCCCAUUCCGGGGGAUGCCAAUUGGAAACAACUGUUAAUACCGCCUACCCUCACAGGAGGACAUCCUCCAGUGUAAAAAACUGAUGUGGAAUGAGAUGGCCCCUCGUCUGAUUACCCCCCUGGCAGGGUAACAGCCUACCAAAGCGACGAUCAGUAGCCGGCCUGAGAGGUCGACCGGCCACAUUGGGACUGAGACACGGCCCAAACUCCUACGGGAGGCAGCAGUGGGGAAUAUUGGGCAAUGGGGGAAACCCUGACCCAGCAACGCCGCGUGAAGGAAGAAGGCCUUCGGGUUGUAAACUUCUUUUAGCAGGGACGAAGAACGUGACGGUACCUGCAGAAAAAGCAACGGCUAACUACGUGCCAGCAGCCGCGGUAAUACGUAGGUUGCAAGCGUUGUCCGGAUUUACUGGGUGUAAAGGGCGUGUAGGCGGAGAUGCAAGUCAGGAGUGAAAUCCCGGGGCUCAACCCCGGAACUGCUUUUGAAACUGCAUCCCUUGAGUAUCGGAGAGGCAAGCGGAAUUCCUAGUGUAGUGGUGAAAUGCGUAGAUAUUAGGAGGAACACCAGUGGCGAAGGCGGCUUGCUGGACGACAACUGACGCUGAGGCGCGAAAGCGUGGGGAGCAAACAGGAUUAGUUACCCUGGUAGUCCACGCUGUAAACGAUGAAUACUAGGUGUGGGAGGACUGACCCCUUCCGUGCCGCAGUUAACACAAUAAGUAUUCCACCUGGGGAGUACGGCCGCAAGGUUGAAACUCAAAGGAAUUGACGGGGGCCCGCACAAGCAGUGGAUUAUGUGGUUUAAUUCGACGCAACGCGAAGAACCUUACCAGGACUUGACAUCCAACUAACGAAGUAGAGAUACAUUAGGUGCCCUUCGGGGAAAGUUGAGACAGGUGGUGCAUGGUUGUCGUCAGCUCGUGUCGUGAGAUGUUGGGUUAAGUCCCGCAACGAGCGCAACCCCUAUUGUUAGUUGCUACGCAAGAGCACUCUAGCGAGACUGCCGUUGACAAAACGGAGGAAGGCGGGGACGACGUCAAAUCAUCAUGCCCCUUAUGUCCUGGGCUACACACGUAAUACAAUGGCGGUCAACAAAGGGAAGCAAAGCCGCGAGGUGGAGCAAAUCCCCAAAAACGGUCUCAGUUCGGAUUGCAGGCUGCAACUCGCCUGCAUGAAGCUGGAAUUGCUAGUAAUCGUGGAUCAGCAUGCCGCGGUGAAUACGUUCCCGGGCCUUGUACACACCGCCCGUCA
This 1390-nucleotide ribosomal RNA is filed under the name uncultured bacterium. RNAcentral describes it as "bacterial SSU rRNA". It matches the Rfam family "Bacterial small subunit ribosomal RNA". The record is from RNAcentral.